UUUUAGGGUGAGUUGGGAGGGUUUUUAGGGGACUGGUUUGUUGUGGGAUGUGUGGGAAAAUUGCGUGGCAAUUGGGCAAGCAUAUGGAAAUACGGUCAGGUUGUGUCAGGGAAAUUUUCUGGGGAUUUGGAAACCCUUUUUGUAGGAAUGUGUAUAGAUAAGUGAAGAUAUUUGUGUAGUGAUUUGGGUACCCUUAAUGGAAAUGUGCUGGGUCGGCCCACGGCGGUCGUCUUAUCCACUGCGGCGCGGUUAACGGCGUGUGCGUUUUCACUCGUGUGAAACGGUCUAACGUGGGUGUGCCCUUUCUCUGAGGCUCUCCUCAUGCACCUGUCCUUGGCACCAGCAUAUCAGUGGUGAGCUGCAGUGUGACAGAAGUGUUACUUGGGGCAGAAGGGCCCCCAGGAGCUGUCGUGUCUGCAAGGGUCAUUCUGGGUACCGAGACGGGUGUGGCGGUCCCUUGGAAAUAGCCAAAGCACCACAGGCGAGUACGUGUUUCUGCUUCGACACGCCAAGCGGACAGAACGCACCAGCAGUUGCCUGGGCUUCUGCCUGGAGGCACGUCAUUCACGUGCCCUGCUCCAACGGGAACACCUCCACUGACUGCAGCUCUUGCCUCCAACUGCUGGUAGCACCCUCAAAAAGCAAUGGCUUGCCCCUUGACUUGCAGAAUACUGGGGGCCCAGACCCCACAGACUUUGUAUUCUCUUCCCCUGUGCCUGGGGGAGGUGUUGAGCCCUUUGAUCUCUGCAGUCUUCAGCACUUGUUAGCCACUCCUCCUUAUGUGCACAACACCCAGCCCCUGUGACCUUGUCCUACCUGACAGCCUCUGUCCGCCUCUCCUAGUCUCAUCCUUCCUCGGAAGGCUUCCCAUGAAAUCCCGUCUUCUGUCCCAGCGUGCAGCAGGCCUGCACCAAUGUUUUCCAGCUUGCUUUAGAGAGUUGUAGGGUAGGGGUGGUGCUUCCUUGCCCCCUGCUGUUUGCUUCUGUCCGCUUUAAGGUGUUCAUGUAUUUCAGUUUUCCUUUUCUCCCCUCCUCUGUGGUGCCUGUGUCUUGCGCAUAUGCAGGAUGUUGGCGUAAGGCAGGGGCCGGCAGCUCUUUGGUCCUGUGGGCCACGGAGGCGGUACUGGGGAAGGCGAAGCGGGCCGGUCAGCGGUGCCGAUCCCGAAUAGCCCAGGUCCCGCUUGCCCUACGGCUCCUCCCCGUACUGCCAACAGUGCCCAGCCUAAGCCCCGACCCCCAGCCCGCCCUGCACCUUCUCUGGACUCCCUGGACAAAGUUGACCAGAUGGAACCUGUGUGCAUAACCCUGGCCCGUUGUGCCCCUGCUCCAGACAACCCGUGCACGCUGAGCAGCGGCAGUAGCUGUUGCUCGACAUGGCGGAAACAUGACUCCUCCUCGUCACGGCGGCCGGUCCCUUCUUCCUGCGGCUGCGCAGAGUCUACACGUGGGCUGCCCUGGGGCUUGUCUCCACUGCCAUCGCUGCUGCUUCCGGGCCGUGCGGCAGGGCCGUGACGGCUGUGCAAAGGAACCGUAGGGCAGCCCAGCCUCAGGCUCGUAGCGGUUGCAGCCAGAAGAGCCUGGUAGCUGUGAAAGGUGUGGGGCCACUUGCCCCUUGUGCCGAGCACGAGCUUGCGUUCACCUCUGGCAGCUACGGCCGCUGCUCAGCGUGGAUGGGCACACGUAGAGGAGGCGCCGUGCAGUUUGGGGUUUGGGCCGUGUGCACGGGUUCUGGCUGGGCUGGUGCUCGUCCACUCUGCCCGGCCUAGUCCUGAGCGGGCACUGGCUGGAUGGAGUUGGAGCUGUGCGUGUGGGUCCCUGCCAGUAGCUUGGGUUUGGGGCAGUGGCGGCAGAAACUGAAAGCAGCUUUCUUUGCCUGCGCAGCCUGGGGAGGCAGUUCAGGCGCACCCCGCUGCAUGCCCAGAGGCAGCGGGAUGCACCAGAGGCUAGACAGUGAUUGGGCAAGACAGGAUUGAGGUACCUGCCAAGGGGCAGACUGAGUCCCUCCAUGGGCCACAUCUGCCCAUGCUACUCAUGGUGUUUCAUAUGGAACAGGUUUUAGGAGCAGAGUAUCUGGAAGGAGGACUACUGUUGUAAAACUGUCCGUCUCCCUGCAGCUGUCUCCCCACACGGAUUUGUGGCGCUGAGCAGCCGUAAUAUGCUGGUGCCCUGCCCAUGGCGUUUUCCCUCCCCCCUCAAGGCCAGUGCCCCUCGCUCCCCUUUUCUAUGCUGAUGCUGAAACCUGUCUAGAGAGCAGGUUGCAAAGCACCACACUUUCAUUUUUUAAGCAGAAAAAGAAAUGAAAAAACCUGUUGUUGUUCAGGAAGCACCGCAGGACAUCAGUUCAACUUCAGGGGAGUUUGAGAUGUGUGGUAUACAGAUUCUCACCUGUGCAGGAGGGAGGAGGAGGCUAACAGCAGAUUGUCUCCACUUUGCAAAUGUCUUUUAAAGCUUUCCUCUGUUCACAUCGAAUGUUUACGUGUGGUUUUUGCUUUGUUUUUUAAAUGGAUAUUCCGAUACGUGUCAAGCAGAUUGGCGUCGCUGGAAGUUUGGGAAUGGGAGCGAAUCCGUUUUCCAGCGGACUUGGGAGAUGUCAAUGAGCGGGGGGCCCGUGUCCCUGGAAAAAAUACAACUCUGGAAGGGAAGAGCACUGCUCAUCUCUUUCCCUGCCCACCUGGGAAUGCUCCUUGUCCUGUUUUGUUUCUUUUACUCUGCUGUCUAGACCGAUUUUUCAUUUACAAAGGUUCACAAAACCAAAAAUCAGUUGGUGUUUUAAGCUGCUUUUUUCCCACCUUUUCAGGAAGCAGUUACUCAUCUUUGGUCUUGCCUGGUAUUGAAGGCUGGAGAAACAGAUUCUUAUUGUACUUUCUCAGGCCAUUGCUUGUGAUGUAAAUGCAGGCUUAUUACUUGUUAACAGUUGCAAAGAGCAUGUUCAUCUAACACACGAGGUACAUGGUCCCACUAGGGACCUCUUACUGGACUCGGUGCUGGCGACAGGGGAUGACCUGGUAGGGAAUUGACUGACUCGAGGUAACCUAGGGGACAGUGACCAUCCAUUGAUUGGAUUCACUAUCUGGCACAGGGUGGGAAAAAUAACCAGUAGGGUAGGAGUGCUAGACUUCAGUGUGGUCAGGAGAUUAGUUAGCGAGGCGCUGAAGGACAAGAGCACUGGUAAGAUGGGAGUCCAGGAAUGGGAGGUGUUCCUAAAGGGAGCAAUCCUACAGGUGUAGGAGAAGAUGAUCCCGUUGCACAGGAGAGGGGAAAGAGGGGCCAAGAAACCCUCUUGGCUGAACAGCAAAAUGCAGGAAAACCUAGGGGCAAAAAAGAGGCAUAUAGACAGUGGAAGCAUGUGAGAUUUACCAAGGUGGAGUAUACCUACUUGGCCUGCACUUGCAGGGAGGCAGUUAGAAAGGGUGAAGCAGAAAUGGAGCUUGGGCUGGCAACAAAAAUUAAAAACAAGUAAAGUCUUUCUUUAGGUGUAUAAGGAGUAAAAAGAAGGUGCCAUGGUAGCAUAGGAACCCUACAGGACAAACUAGGGUAAAUAGUGAUAGGUGGGGUGAGCGGGGCAAGGUUGAGCUCUUCAGUGAGUUUUUUGCUUCUGUAUUCCUGAACAUGGAACAGGACAGGUCUCCCAGUUGGAUGCUAGACAGGCAUAAAAGGGACACCAGCCCACCAAGUGUUUGUGCCAACUUGGUGAAGAGGCACUUGGAAAGACUGGGUGUGUUUAAGUCAGCAGACCCACGUGAUCUUCAUCCAAGGGUGCUAAAGGAUUUGGCAGCAUUAUAGGAGAGCCCCGACACAGCUGUUUGAGCACUCGUGGCACUCGGGUCAGGUCCCAGAGGGCUGGAAAAGGGCCAGUGCGGUCCCUACCUUUAAGAAAGGAAAGGAGGAUCCGGGUAACUAGACACCAGUUAGUCUCACUUCUGUUCUGAGGAAAACCUUUGAAAAGAUUAAGGAUCGCAUUUGUGGGAGUCCUGGAAGGUGGGGGGAUGCUGAAGGGCAGUGAGCACAUAUUCAUAGCAGGUAGAUCCUGCCUGACUAACCUUGUUUCUUUUUAUGACCAGGUCACAAAAUGCUUACACACAGGAAUUGAGGUAGAUGUCAUCUACUUGCAUUUUAAGAAGGCCUUCAAUAUGGUAUCUCAUUCUAAUGUCAUUAAUAAACUGAGCCGCUGUCACGUAGAUGAUUACACGAUCAGGUGGGUGGCAAAAUGGCUCAGCGUCAUACCCAGAGAAUGGCGGUGGAUGGGUCGGUAUCGACCUGGAAAGAUGUGGGCAGUGGAGUCUGACAAGGCUCGGUCCUUCGACCUGUGCUGUUUAAUGUCUUCGUGAGUCACUUGGAUGAGGGCGUGGAAAGCACUCUGUCCAAAUAUGCAGAUGAUACCAAAUUUAUGGGUAACGUUAACAUGCUAAAGCAGAGGUCCUCAAACUGUGGUCUCUGGACCAGCGCUGGUCCACAAGCUCCAUGUAGGUGGUCCUCAGAAAGGUUGCAGAAAAAUUGAGAAUCUCUGCGUUUGGCCCUGCAGUUGAUUACUUUUUUUUCCGGUGACGGAGAUUAAGCGGUCCGCUGAGACCCUCGGCAAUUUUCAAGCGGUCCGUGCAAAACAAAGUUUGAGAGCCGGUGCGCUAGAGGGUUGGGACCAAAUCUGUGGGCACCUGGGCAGGUUGGAAAAAUGGGCAGACCGGAAUAGGAUGCAGUUGAACAAAGACAAGUGCAAAGUGCUGCACCUAGGGAGAAGGAAUCACCGGCACGCUUACAGGCUGCGGGAGGGCUUUCUCAGCAUCAGAGCAGCGGAAAGGGAUCUCGGAGUCAGCGUUGAUACCGAGAUGAGCGUGAGUUGUCAACGUGACAAAGCGAUUGGUAAAGCUAACUGCACUUUAUCAUGUGUUCGCAGGUGCAGGACAAACAGGUCCAGGGAGGUGAUGCUUACCCUCUACGCGACAUUGGUCGAGCUGCAGUUGGAGUACUCUGUCCGGUUUUGGACGCCACACUUCAAGAGGGAUGUGGACAACCUUGUGAGGGUUCAGAGGAGGGCAAAAGCUAGUCCUUGCGCUCCUGUCCUUGGAACCAGCUUAUCGGCGAGGAAGCGCAGCGUGACAUUCGGAACCAAAAGGCCCGGAGUAGAAGGGCCCCCGACAUCCGUCGCAUCUGCAACGGGUCCCUGCGUGAGCUACUGAGAAACGAGCGUUUGGGGCCCGCACCGGUCUCUCGGAAACAUCCGAGCCAGCCCCGGCAGCAGGUGCCUGCGCGUUCCUGCCUCGUACGCGGUCAGGGAACGCUACGCACCAGCAGUUGCCUCGGCUUCUGACCGGACGCACGCCGUUUGCUUGCAAGCAUCCAAAGCUAGCACCUCCAGCGGCUGCAGCUGUUGCUUCCCAACUACUAGGAGAGCCUUGCAAAAGCAAUGGCCUGCCCCUGGGCCAGGCUGAUACCAGUGGCUCAGACCCAGAGACUUGCUGUUGUACCUCCCGGUGUCUGGAUUAGGUGUCGAGCACUUGGAACUCUGGCAGCUUCAGCACAUAUUAACCUCUCGUCCUCCUGUGGCCAACACCACGGAGCCCGUGACCCUAAUGUUUCUGUCAGCCUCUGUCCCACCCUUCCCCUGAAGGCCUCCCGUGAAAUCCCUUGUCCCAUCACAGUCUGCAGGUUGGCUUCAGCGGUAUUUCCCAGCUGCACGUGGAGAGUUGCAAGGGAGUGUCAGCGAGGAGCUGCAGCGUGAAAGAAGUGGGACUUGGAAAUAUCCAAGGGACCACGGGUAACAGUUUGACGGGCGUCACGUAGACUCGUUUUGCUGAAACUUUGGGAACGGGACCGAACCCAUUUUCCUGUGCGCUUGGACCUGCAGAUGGCUGGGGCCCGUGUCCCUGGGGAAACUCCGAGUCUGGAAGGGAGGAACACUGCUCAUCUCUCUCCCUGCCUGCCUGGGAACGCUCCUUGCCUUGUGUUUGUUAGACUCUGCCAUUUAGACCUAUUUUAACUUGUAACAGGGUCACAAAACCAAAUGCCAGUUGCUGCUCGUAGCUGCCGUUUCCCAUCGUUCCAGAAAGCAGCUACUCGCUCUUGGUCUUGUCUGGUAUUAAAGUCUUGAGAAACAGAAUUUUAUUCCACUUUUUUUGGCCGUUCCUUGGGAUGUAAGUGUAGGCUCACGGCCUAUUCCUUGUAUGCCAGCUUAAGCACGUGUCGUUCUUAAGUUAGGCUUCUGGUAGGUGUGUAGUCUGCAAUACUGAGCGUGGUCUGUCAGGCCCUGACCAUAUUUUCAGUUUACACCGAGGGGAAUCUGCCCAUAGCCUUCCUUCCCCUUUCUCAUCACCAUCUUCGUAACAUCCCUGCCUCUUUACUUGUCGCUCAUUUCAGGAGCUGUUGUGUGCCAGUGCUUCUGUUCCCUGGUGCUUUCCCCGGGUACCCACCCUGUCUCCUGUACGUGGUGGAGGACCGGUUUAAGGAGUUGCACGGAGGGCCUCACAGAAGUCCUGUGUGGUCACGGGUUUACAAUGAAGACUGGCAGCUGUGUGUUACUAUUUCUGGGGUGUGCCAUGUGUGAGGUGCAGCUGUCAGAGGAACGCUUUGGAGAUGUCGCUCACACAGGGAAGCAAAAUUGUUCUGCUCCCCACUACUGAGCUUUAAAGGGUGAUACCUGUGAGACAUCACAUCCUCUGUCCAAACCUGAGCCAUCUGAGCAGGGGAAGUGGCAUGGGAGCGGGGGCCAAGAUACCUGGUUGACAGCCCAGACUGCAAGUUGAAGGCUGCAAUGGAAGCGCUCAGAGUGUGGCCUGUCAGAUUCCAACAAAAUAUGUCAAGUCUUACAUGUAGCUUAUCACAAGGAAACGAAAAAGAAAAGGACAUGAGCAGGGGCCCAUGUUAGAGUCUUAGUGCAUUGGUCAGCGAUUGGGGGUGAGGGGUGCAUGUCCCUCCUUCACUGCUUGUGUGUUGACUGUCAUUGUUAAAGGACCAGGGUUGGGGGCGGGGGCAUUCUUGGCUGCUUGGCCAAGUGCCUGGGGGAAGAGCUAGGAGGGAGGGGGAGGUUCAGCAACCCCGGACUGGCCAGGUCUCCCCCUGCCUCCCACAGGGCUGCGCUACCUGCUACUGGCAGUGACUCUGCCUGGAGCAGUUGGCAGGCCCUUGUAAGCAGCCUGCACUGCUUGGGAGAUGUGGGCUGUGACACCUUGGUUUUCUGGACUGUGGUAAGAAAGCAAACAGCCUUGUAGUACAGGCUUCAGUUGUGGGACUGCACCCUGUUGUUGAGACCCCCCCCAGGGGCUUAUUUCUUGUAUGUCCAUGCAGGAUAGUUGGAGGGGUGGGGAAUGGAAGGAAGAGGCAUGGAUGAGACCUGCAUCUUCUGUUCAGCAAAUUUCUGUAAGUAAUGUUAGUACUACUAAUAUUAUCCCUGUUCUGAUUCUUACUAUUACUAUUAUUUGUUUUCCCAUAUACUUUGCCAACAAAGCACCUGGCAGGUCCAGUAAGAAAAGGAAGUUUCCAAACAGGUGACAGAAGGAAACCAAAUGAUUUAAGUAUGCAAGUGGUGGUGGUGGUGUUGGGAAGGUUCAGGAACCAUGGGGGAGGCAAGAUUUUUUGUUAUGUCUUUUGUGGCAACAACAGCACGGUUUGGACGGACAGAAGCAAGGUUUUAGGCAUCCCAGUCCCCUUUUUCAGUCCUGGUUCCUUCCCAGAAUCCUGAGGAAAGGUACUGUCAUACCCCAAAGGUUGCCUGUAUCUUACAGUUGGUCUGGUAAAACAGGGGUCAAAAAACCUAUGGCCUGUGGUUUGGAUCCAGUCUGUGAAGAAACUGGUUCUAGCCUGUAGCAGUUCAACCAAGGAGCAGCACACUCCCACGGUGACAGCAGCAGGGACAUCCCCAGCGGCCUGUUGCCACUGUGUUCAGUUUGUUCUUUGUGCUGCAGCAGAAGCAGCCUCCCCAGGGUCCCGGCCCCUGCCUCUUUCUUUUGAGUCCCUUCACAGCCUGUGGAGAUUGCCGGGGAGCAAGCUGUCACGUUGGCAACGGUGCACAACGGCAAAAGAACGGCCCUUCCCUGCAAGGAAAGAUUGCACCUAACUCCGAGCGAGCAGAGCAGAGCAGAGCAUGGACACAGAGCGAGAUGCUCAUCAGUAGGGUAGUCUGGCCUUGCCUUUGCUAGGAGUGCCCAAGUAGGGAGGUGUUGGAAUAAUUUCUCAGCUUUUUCCCUAGAUCGCUCUAAGAGGAGAGGGGAGCGCUAAGCACACUUGGGUUCGUGCACGCUCCCCAUCGUUUUCAGAAGCGGACGGCAGGAGAAAGUUUGCGGUCAGCGAUAGCAGCACAAGGCCGCGCAACCAGGCUGGGGAACGUGGGGCUCUUUCCUAAACCAGGAGUGGCAGGACUUGCACAGCUUUGCCAGGAUCCUGGCUGUUGUGGAGAGACUUUGGGUUGGAGAUGGAUGCAAAGAAGUGGAGGCGUGCCAUGGUGAUGGAGGAUAGAGCAGGAGGAGUAGUGUGAUGGAAGAUGACCAAAGUCUGGUCCUGAGUGGAGAAGAGCUGAGGAAGAGGUGAAGAGCCCUGGAGCUGGUAUGGCGUGGAAGGAGUUGGAGACGGCCUGAAGCCAUGCUCACGUGAUCACCUGGAGCGAGCAGGUGCCUGCAUCGUAUCUGGGAAAGGGAUAGCAAGCAUGAGGACUGAUGGCGCACAAGGACUGAAGGCGCAGCGUGAUGCCAGGUGUGGAGCCAUCUUCUGAAGGCUUGAGGGCUGUGGAGCAGACUCUGUGAAGAUGAAGUGAAGAGUCCCAGAGAUGGUGCAGGAGGAAACGGGCAGCCCUGUUGUGACUUCCUGAUUUGCGUGGUGUGAGGCCUCUUCCCCUGUGGCAUCACCUGGCUGGAGUCUGGGGAGGUUUUGUGUGUAGCUUUGCAGGCGGUGCGUCUCCGCUCCCACUUCUUGCUGUGAGGAUGCCUGGAUAAGCAGCAGCAUGAUUGUGGCUGGGUGGCCUCAAUGUUGUGGGGGAGAGGAACAGAAGCGAGGCUUCUGCGGUGGUGGUAGAAGAUGGAGGAACUGGAUCCCGAAAGGUGGGCUGGGUUAAAGUGGGAGGCUGGGUUGCGUUUUCCCUGGUCGUGUUUGGGUGGGGAAGGAAACGCCUUGUGCGUAAUGGGGUCUGGAGCUCCGUGCUGUCUGGGAAGUGAUGCUGAAGCAGGGACUUGUGGCCCUUAGGGAUGCUGCAGAGCAGGGGGUGUAAGCCUGAAUUGGGUUUAGUUUGGUGGUGAGACCUGACUCCUUGUAAAGGCUGGAAAUUGUCCUUGAGUAUAUUAGGGGUUUCAGUGUUUGCCCCUGGCUUCUGGGUGCAGGUGACAGCAUUGGAUGUGCUGGGACAGAGGAGCGGCUGCGUGCGUGUCCGCCUCUGCCUGGCUGUUGCUGCUGCCAGUGGUCUUCCUUCAGUUCUGGGAAUUGCACUCUGUCCUAUGUCUCUGGGUGUGUCACUGGUGUUUCUUUCUACUUUGAUAUCUAAAAUCACAGCAGCACUUCUUCUUUCUUUCUUUGCUCUUCCCAGAGCUGGAAGGAUAGGUGUGUUUGCAACUGAAUUGAUCCCCUCAUUUGGGUGGGCUUUGACUGCACCCUGUGUGCCUCGCGUGCGAGUGGGGGUGUUAUGCUUUCGGUGUCCUAGGCUGCUGGGGGUGGGGGGCGUUGUCUCUGCUGUCAGUACUAUGAGACGUGAAUACUGUUGCGUGUAGUAAUUGCUUGUUGUUUUGGGUGUGAUGUUAAUAUGUCGAGCGUGAGUGGAGAAGAGCUGAGGCGAAGAGACCUAGAGCCAGCGCUAGGUAGAAGCGGGUGGAGGAAGCAGGUGGUUGUGCAGCCAUGCUCGCUUCUGGGUCACCUGGAGGGAGGCCUCUGCCUGUUCGGUGGACCUGUGUGCAUGAGCAGAGCCUGCAGAGGUCCCUGCUUCCCCUGUGUGGAGAGGAUGGCAAGGAGGGAGGAGAGCGCGCUGGAGGAAGAGGAGCGCGAUGCCAGGUCCCAUGAGUGCUGUCUCUUGGGGGUCCUGACCUGUGCAGAGGGAAAUGACUGCCGGUUGAAGGAGUGAAGCUGAGCAGCGCCCACGGAGGGUGAAGCAGGAGGAACUCGAUGCCGCACGGCGUGUCGGUGCCGGAUGGGCAGUUCUGGCAAUUGCAGGUGCCUGUCUCCCGUAUGGGGAGAGGAUGGCAAGCAAGGAUGCUUGAGGGCUGGAGGAGAAGAGUGAUGCCAGGUGUGGCAAGUGCUGGCGGUCAGGGGAGUCCUCUUGCCAAGGCUUCAGGACUGUGAAGCAGAGACUGGAAGAAGAGGUGAAGAGCCCCAGAGAUGGCGGAGGAGAAAACGCACAGCUGUCUCCUGACUUCCCAAUUUGUGUGGCGUCAGGCCCCUGGCCCUGUGGCAUCACGCGGUUGGAACCUGCGGUGUGUCUGAGCUUCCUCGGAGCGGUGCGAUGUCUUCGUUUCCCUGUCUGACCGUUUCUUUCACAGUUGUUCUAUCAUGUUUGCAGGAUGUACUGUGUGUAUGGUGGUUGCUGUGGUGCAUUGCUUUUUGAUGCGCUGUGACUAUCUGGCUCUGGGCGGCCACAGGCAAGCCUUUAAGAGCUCAGCUAGCGAGUAGUGGGUCUGGAUGUGUCUGCCGGGUGUUUGCAGAGGAGCUUUCCCUGUCUCUAGCUUUGUGCCGUUUCUUCUGCUCUCUGGGCUGGCUAGGUUUCUGUUCUUUUUCCAGCAUAGUCUAUCUUGAUGGGGUGAAGGAUACAGGGAGUACUGUGCCACAGUGUUGGAAGAUGAAGGAACAGAAUACUUAAAAGUGGGCUUGGUUAGGGAGGGGUGGUGGGGUGGUGGUGAGUGGUUUCUUCCCUGUGGUUUUUUGGGUGAGGGAGCAAACGCCUAGUGUCUGAUAGUGUCUGGCGCUUCUUGUUUCCAGCAGGGUUCUGGCCUCCUGGGGUGCCCCAGAGCUGGGUGGUGUAAGCCUGGGUUGGGUUUAGCCUGUGUGUGUGUCCUGGCUCUCUUUGUACAGGCUGACAAUAAUCUUUGAGUAUAUAGGUGGUUUCAGUGUUUGCCCCUGGCAUCUGGAUGGAGAUCUUGUCCCUGGGUGUGGUGGGGCAGAGGAGCGGGUGCCUGUCUCUCUGCCUCUGCCUGCCUGUUGCUGCUGCUGGCCUCCCUUCCGUUCUGGGAAGGGCACUUUGUUCUGUCUGUCUGGGUUUGUCACUGGUGUUUCUGUCUACUUGGAUUUUGAACAUCAGUGCAGCACUUGUUGUUCUUGCUUUCCUAUUCCCAGAGCUGGAAGGAGGGCUGUGUUGGCAAUUAAAUUGGUCCCCUCCUUUGGGAGGGGUCUGAAUGCACCCUAUGUUGCUUGUUUGGGGCAGUUGCUUGUGCUUUGUCCUUUUGUUUGGUAGUGAACUUUCCCCAUGUGCUGUCAGGAGGUUCCUGCAUCCUGUGAGAGGAGACGAAGCGAAGCAGGGACAAGUGAGGGCUGCAGAAGGAGCGGCAUAAUGCCAGGCACGGUGAGGGCUGUCCUGAGGCUAAAGCCUUUUCUGCGGCUGAAUGGGAGGCGUUGUAGCCGGGCGCCCCUCGGAGACCUUUGAGCCGGGGAGCGGGUGUGUGGUGUGGGAGUUGUACUGUGGGUUCCUUCUCCUUGGUUGUGGUCCUGGAGUGACUACCUGUUCUCUUCCUUCUAGGGUCCUGGCCCGUGUGCAGGGAAAUGUAUGCUGGUUCAGGGGGUGGAGUGGACUAGUGCCCAUGGAGGAUGAAGCAGUAGGAGUUGGCUGUUGCAUGGUGUGUUGGCAUUGAAUGGGCACAUCCUGCAGUUGGUAAAUGAUUGCUUGAAGCAGUGUGGGGUUGCCCAGGUCUGGCAGGUUUUUGUGCUUUGCCCUUUGUUGUUUUCUGUGCUCGUUGCGCCGAGGUUUUCCUUUGCGUCCUCGGCAGGCGCUUGCCUCCCGUGGGGAAGGGAUGGCAAGCGAGGCUGCGCAAGGGGUGACGGAGCACUGCGAUGCCACGUGUGGCGUGUGCCGGUUCUCUGGGCUGAGGCCUUCGCCCUGGUGUCUGCGUGCCCUCUGUGUGCCCUUUGCAGUGUGAUGAGGUGCUCUGUUGGCUUGCUGUGUGUUGUGGGACUUGCUCAGUGGUUUGCUCAUCCUGUGUUUAGUUCUGCUUGUUGGGCUGAUCACUUGUUGUCUGUUCUCUGUACGGUCCUGGUAUGUGUGGAGGAAAAGGAAGAGGGCUAAGGAGCGGAGCAGAACAGUGGUAAUGGAGGAAGAGAAGCAGGAUGCUGGGAGGUGGGGUGGGUUGGGGCGGGCGGUGUCUGGGUGUGGUGGGAAGGCCCUGGUCUGGCAUGGUGUCUAUGUUAGGUGAUCCCAGUCAGAGAUGCUGGAGCAGGGUGUUGCGGCAUUUGAGCUUCCUCUCAUCUCUUGCGGUGGCCUGCUGUGUCCAGGGGCCCCUCGUGCGGCUCUUCACGAGGCUUGAGAAUGCGUGCCUGUCCCUGCCAGCAGGUUUUUUGGCUCCUUGAGCUGUGUUUGCUACAACACUUGGGUGCCGGUGUCUGGCCCUCUCCAGGUUUUGGCGGGGCAGAAGUUUGGUGCGUCUUUGCCUACCUGGCUGUCUUGGCACAGGCUCUCCCACCGGUGCUGGGACUGGCUUGUCCUCUGUCCAUGUGCCUUUGUUUGUCUUGUUGUCUUGAAAGUUGUUGCAGCCUUUUUCUGUUGUUCCCAGAUCUGGCAGGAGACCUGUGUUUGCACACCUAAAUUGCUUCCCUUGCUAUCGAAGGGAAAGUCCUGAGGGGUCUGGCUGUCCUGUGACAGCUGUUGGCCGGGGGUUGGGGCGUAGGGGAUAAGUCGCGUGCGGCGUCUCGGCAGGGAGCGGCCGUUGUCCCCGGUGCCGCGAAGCCUCUGAGUUGUCGAUAGUGCCAAUUGCCUUUUCCUUACGUGUGUGGAGGAGCCAUCUUGUGAAGGUUGCAGGCCUAUGAAGCAGCCACUGGGAAGAUUUCAUAGACAUUCGGGCUGGAAGGGACCUCGGAAGAUCAUCGAGUCCAGCCCCCCGCCCAAAGGGCAGGAAGUCAGCUGGGGUCAUAGGAUCCCAGCAAGAUGAGCAUCCAGUUUGCUCUUAAAGGUGUUCAGUGUAGGCACUUGAACCGCCUCCGGCGGCAGGCUAUUCCAGACCUUGGGGGCUCGGACAGUAGAGAAAUUCUUCCUUAUGUCCAGCCCGAAACGGUCUUGUCGUAGUUUAUGACCAUUCGACCUAGUCGUCAUCCCUUGGGGCGCGCUCUGGUGAACAAACGUUCCCCCAGAUACUGGUGGUCACCCCCGAUAAACUUAUAGGUGGCCACCAGAUCACCCCUGAGCCUGCGCUUUUCCAGGCUAAAGAGCCCCAGGGCUCUCAGCCUGUCAUCAUAAGGUCUGCUUCCCUGAGCUCUGAUCAUGCGCGUGGCUCUUCUUUGGACUCUCUCAAGCUUCUCCACAUCCUUUUUGAAUUGUGGAGCCCAAAACUGGACGCAGUACUCCAGCUGCGGCCUCGCCAGGGCCAAGUAUAAGGGGAGAAUGACGUCCCAGGAUUUGCUUGAGAAGCAUCUGUGGAUGCAAGCCAGCGUUUUGGUUGCUUUAAUAGCCGCAGCAUCGCACUGCAGGCUCAUGUUCAUCUUGUGGUCAAUGAUGACCCCCAAGUCUCUUUCUUCCAUAGUGCUAGCCAACGUAGCACUGUUGAGCCUAUAAGGAUGCUGCAGGUUUUUCUUCUCAAGGUGGAGAACCUUGCAUUUAUCGGCGUUGAACACCAUCAGAUUCUCGUCCGCCCACUUGCUGAGCCUGUCCAGGUCAGCCUGGAUCGCCCGCCUGUCUUCUGGCGUGGAUGCUUUGCCCCAAAGUUUGGUGUCGUCGGCGAACUUGGCCGGCCCGCUUCUGACUCCAGUGUCCGCAUCGUUAAUGAAGAUGUUGAACAGUAUGGAUCCAAGGACAGAGCCUUGGGGGACCCCGCUGGUCACAGGACACCACGAUGAGUGACUUCCAUCAAUUACUACCCUCUGGGUCCGACCACGGAGCCAAUUUUCCAUCGAGUGGAUCCUGGAGGACCCAAGGUGACAAUUGGCCAGAGGCGAUCAUGGGAAACCAGAUCAAAGGCUUUUUUGAAGUCAAGAUAUGACAUCAAUCUCUUCUCCCUUGUCCAGGUGAUAGGUCACCCGGUCGUAGAAGGAAAUGAGAUUGGUUAAGCAAGACCUACCCGCAACAAACCCGUGCUGGCUAUCCCUUAAGACGUUGGCGUCGGCCAGUCCGUUAAGGAUGGCCUCUUUAAUUAACUUUUCUAAGAUCUUCCCCGGGAUAGAAGUCAGGCUGAUGCGCCUAUAGUUAGCCGGAUCCACUUUCCUCCCUUUCUUGAAGAUAGGCACCACAUUGGCCUUCUUCCAGUCUUCGGGCACGACACCAGAGCGCCAAGAGUUGUCAAAGAUCCGCGCUAGAGGCUGGGCUAUGAUGCUCGCCAGCUCCUCGAGUACCCUCGGGUGAAGAUUGUCAGGGCCGGCUGAGUCGAAGGUAUCCAGCUUUUCAAGAUGUUCCUUCAUGAAGUCAGCAUCAAUGGAGGGCAGGGGAUCACGCUCACCCGGUGAAGAGACCCACAGUGGGCAGCCCUGUUAUGAUUUCCCGAUUUGGCACGGUGCGAGGCCUCUACCUCUACUGUGUCACCUGGCUGGAGUGUGUGGUGGGUCUGAGCUCCCUUGGAGCAGCGCGAUGUAUUUGUCUUCCUGCUUUGUCACUUUUUCCACGCUUGUUCUUUCAGGUUUCCAGGAGGUUUUGUGCGUGUACCUGUGCAGGUGGUGUGUCCCCACUCUGUCUUCUGGCUGUGAGGAUGCCUGGAUAAGGAGCAGCGUGGUUGUGGCUGUGGUGAGCAGUGCCUGUUGGAGAUGAGGGCUCUCCUGUGGUGGCUGUGCCCUGUGUAAGCUAGGUGGGUUUUUGAUUGCCUGUGAAUAUCCAGUUCAGGCUGGGCAGAAGCAAGCGUUUGAGAGCUCAGGUAGUGGGUUGUGGUGCUGGAGGUUUGGAGAGGAGCUUACCUUGGCUCUGACUAGGUUGCCUUGUGUCCCCUGUUUGGGGUGAUGAGGGUUUUGUUUGAUUUCUAGUGGCUUUGAUCUUGUGGGGGAGAAGGAUGUGAGGGCAUGUUGUGCUGUAGUGAUGGAAGAUGGGGGAACAGGGUGCUGAAAAUUGGUUUGGUUUAGAGUAGCGGGGUGGAGUGGCUGGUUUGCUCUGGUGAUGUUUGGCUCGGGGGUGGGGGGGGUGCCAGUCUCUGCCUGUGUGUUGCUGCUGCCACUGGCCUCCCUUCAGUUCUGGGAGCUGUACUCUGUGUUGUCUCUCUGGGUGUGUCACUGGUGUUUCUUUCUGCUUUGAUGUUGAAAAUCACAGCAGCACUUUUUGUUCUUCCUUUGCUCUUCCCAGAGCUGGAAGGAUGGGAGUGUUUGCAUGUAAAUUGGUCCCCUCCUUUGGGAGGGGUUUGCUUGUACGCUCUGUGCCUUGUGUGGGGGUGGCGGCUGUGUGCUGCUUUUGGAGACUGGGGCGGGUGCAUCUCUCUCCUUAGUACUGAGAUGUGAAUACUGUUUCGUGUAGUACUUGCUUGUUGUUUGGGGGGUGAUGCAAAUAUCUGGACCCUGAGCGGGGAAGAGAUCAGGUAGAGGUGAAGUGACCUAGUGCCACCACCAUGCAGAAGGAGGUGGAAGAAGUUGGUGGCUGUGUCCCUGUCGUCAUUUCUGGUUCUCCUUGAGCGAGGCCUUUGCCUGUCAGGUGGAGCUGUGUGCGUGGACAGAGCCUGCAGCAGGUUUCUGAGGAUGAUGAUGUGCACCAGACUGUGGGAAGAGGGUGAAGCGUCCCAGAGGUGCUGGAGGAGGUGCGGUCAGUCCCUGGUUGCCUGGUUUGAGGCCUCUGGCUUUGUGGUGUCUCUUGGCUGGAUCCCUAUGCAUCUGUGGUCCCUGUGGUAGGUGGGCGAGUGCUUACUUGGAGCAGCGUGGGACUUCUCUCCAAUCUGCCAGUUGCCUCCAUGUUUUUGUUCUUGUGUUUUGGUGAAGAUUUUCUGUAUCUUGCAGGUUUCUUUUUUUCUCCAGCCCAGUCCUGGGUGUUGGGCAUUGACUAGGUAGGGUAGACGGCUGGAGAUCGAUCUGGAUGUUUCUGACUGGUGAGUACUGGGUGUCAGAGAAAAGGUCCUUCUUGUGGUGGUGUCUCCAGCAUAUGCUGUGGCUGCUGUGCUGUGGUCCCAGCAGAGGCAAGCCUUGGAGAGCUCAGAGGGUCCUGGUCCUUGGAGAGAAGUUUGAGCAGAGAAGGGUGGAAGAUGGAGGCAGAGAGGAUGGUGCAAGCAGGGGGUCUUUUUACCAAGACUUUUGGGGCCGGGAGGAGAAGUGGAGAUUGGGCAGAAGAAGAGAAGACAUCUUGAAGUCAUGAACCAUGGAGCUGCCUGUCAUUGGUGCUUGUGCUGUAGCUCUGUCGUGAGGAGCAGGGCAGGGGCAGUGACAUGCUGAGGGCUGGAGAAGGAGCACCACAAAGAUGGCUGUGAGGCCUUGGUCAGGCGUGAAGUAUGUGAGCCAGGAGAGUCGUACAGCACACACGCAGGAUGGAGGGCAACAAGUCGAGCGGGGGGCUUUUUUGGCCAGGGCUGCUGUGAAAUCUGGUGUAGGGCUGGGCCAGCCGGUCCGAGUCUGUCGGAGUCCACGUAUAGGAGAAACGACGGAUGUCUAAGGAGCUUGUGGGGCGUUUGAUCCGGGCUCAUCCCUGGCACUUGGGGUGCAGGCCUGGCCCCUCUCUGGGGUGUGUUGAGGGUGAGCUCUGGGUUUGCGUUCAUGCCCCUGACUUGCUGUUGCUACAGGCCUCCCUUCAGUCUUGGGAACAGCGCUAUGUCCUGUGUGCCUGGGGGUGUCACUGGUGUCUCUCUCUUUCUACCUCUUUGCAAAAUGUCUGCAGCACUUGUUCUUUUUCUGCUCUUGUCAGGACUGGAGGGAAGGCUGUGGUGGGUUUUUUCCUGCCACCUAAAAUGGUUUCCACCUCGGGGAGGGGUCUGACUGCACCCUGUGUGCCCUGUUUAGGCUGGGUGGGGGUAUCGCCUUUGAAUUCUCGGGGGUUGCUUUUGCCCUCAGGGCUGUGAGUCCCGUGUGCCGCGUGACUUUUCCUAAUUUAUUUUUGUUUUGGUGACAUGUACGGGAGUCAUCUGGCUGAGGCUCGAGGCUCCUAAGUGGGCAUCGGGAAGAAGAGGUGGAGAUAUAGCGCCUGUGACCUGAGGAAGCUGGUGAAAGAAACGGAUGUCGGCGCAUUCGCUUUGCUGUUGCCCGGUGUGAGACUUCUGCCCGUGUGGUGGCCCUGGGCUGGAAGCCUUGCUGCGUGAAGCCUGCGAUAGAUGUUGGAUUGCUGCUCCCUGUGUGUUGAGGAGGAUGGGCUGCAAUGACUGGAGGCCUGGAAAAGGAGCCGUGUGGCCAGGGUCCUGGCCUGCAUGGAGGGAAGUAGGUGAGAGGACUGCAUCGUGGAAGAGCCGUGGGACAGUGUUGGAUGACAGACACGGACCGGCCGGAUGUUGCCCGCUACGUUGGAAUGUCCCUUCUGUAUUGGGAUUCUGCGUGGGGGUGUGGGGUGGGUUUGGGAGUGUCCUCAGCUUUAUGAUCCUGGAGCCAGGGGUUUGCAAGUAGUAUGUUUGGGUCAGUUUGUCUGUGCUGUGGGUGGACCUAGGGUGACCAGAGGUGAAAUCCAUUCCUGUGACCCUGUAGUUGGACGAGCACCCAGACACUUGCAGGAACCGCUGGGCAAGCAGGCCCAGAGCUUUCAACUGUUGAGCACAGCAAUGCUGGAGCCAGCUAGCAUGGAAGCAGAAGGGCUGGCCGGGCGCGGGGCCCGGGCUGCCUCUGUGGCUUCUGUGCUAGUGAGGUUGAGAAUUGCAGUGCUGGGGGGUUGGAGGUUUUGGACCUGCUUGUGCAGGGUUCUUGUUGGUGUUGGGGUGCUGGUUCUGCUGGGUCAGAGCAAUGGGUUUUAUUCUGCCUGACUGCCAUGUUUACCGUGUCCUGCAGGGCUGGGAGCCUGUCAUAGCAGUGUGUGUUUGGCUGGGGCGGGGUGGUUGUCUGGUUUGGUCCCUGAGCAGUGUGGUGAGCAUGUUUGUUAUUACCCUGAAAUAAAAUAGUUUUCUGAUAGCCUACUGUUAGGCUAACAAUAAUUUAGAUUAUUAAGAAGUAUUAGCUUUGCAGUUGAAUACAAGGCAUGACCUGUGGCCUAGCAAUGCCGCUGACCACAAGGCAGAAUGAUAGCUAAGCCUUUGCUUAUGUUAAGUAAUCAUUUUAACUGUGUUGACUAUUUUCUGAGUAAAAUGCAGCAAGUGAAUCUGUCUGUGUGCUGUAAACCAGAUACAGCAAGGAACAAGGUAAGAGGAAGAAGGCAUUGUUCUAAGUACAGUGAUCGUGUCCUUAAGAAGUAUCUAGUACUGUGCAAGUUUUUGCUAACAUCAUAAUGUUACUGUUAUUUAGGUUAGAAAAUAUUGUUGGAAAAUCAAUGUGACCUUUGUAUGACCUUUGGUCAAUGCUGGCUGAUGCAACCUUGCAGUAAGAUUGCCAUGAUCUGUCAAUAUAGGCGGGCAGACAAGGUGAUUGGGCCCAACCGUGCGGGGUGAGCAAAGCCAAGCCAUCUUGGUGAUUUCCUCUGAGUUUUGCGCAUGCGUUAUGAAGGAGCUUAUGGAACCAGAGUUUAUAAAUCUAUGUGUUGAGUUGCAGUCGGGGGUCUCUCUGCCCUUACGAGGACAGGGGACCUUUGGUCGAAUAAACUGAAAAGACCACACCCUCAUCUCUUGCUUAUUGGAGUCUCAGCUGGGAAACGAGCUCUGUUCGGGUUAAGAGAGUCUGCAGGUGUUCCCUUACCAGAUUGGGAGCCUGGUCAGACAAUUUCUCUCACAAUUUGGCGAGCCAGCCAGGAGCACCCAGCUCGUCGCGUUGCCGCUGCCGCCUAAACCCAACCUCCGGCCGGCCGUAACAGAGGUGAGUUCACCACGGGAGUCUUGGGUUAAGGCUGCAGACACGGCGGGACGAUAAGGUGACUCCUUCAAUUUUACUGGCAUGGUGUGGUCUUUUAUAUGUUGUGUAUGUCUUGUCUAACGUGUUAUAGGCCAGUCUGUUCUCCGGAUCCUCAAACCUGGGCACACAGGCAAUUUUAGUUAAUUGCCCGUUCGACUCUUUUGAGCCGAUAAAUCUGUGUGGCGCGUUUUAUGUCUCCAUUCGUGCACUGAGGAACCGUCUCUGUUUCUGACCUUUUAACUGGAUAAGUCCUCCAACCUGUUUGAGGCAUCUUAGAGGCCUGCCUUUCCAGGUUGGUUAGGUCUAGGGCAGCCAAGAAAGCAGGGUUUUUGGGGAGCUUAAUAGUAUAUCAGGUUAUCUGGGAAAGGGAUGUCCGCCAAGAAUGACGAUGGGACAGAAACAGUCAAUUCUGGCUAGUAGUCCUCUUGGAGAAUUGUUAAGCAACUGGAAUAAGUUAUCUGGACAUGGCCAAUUGAGUAAGAAGCGCGCUAUAGCCUUAUGUACUAGUGUCUGGCCCGGCUACACUUAUAAAAACCCUGAACUUCAGUGGCCAGUGUUGGGAUCCCUCAGUGUAGAUAAAUGAAGGUACCUCAGGGGGUUCCUAGAGGAACCCCAUCCCCGACUAAUGGAUUAUUGGUAUCUCUGGUGUGAUUUGAUGGAUUUAAUUCUGCAGAGGAAAAAAAAAACUGAUUACUUCUGGCCGCUCAACAACGUCUGUGGUGUCUUCUCCCCCUUAUUCUCCCGCUAUGCCACCAUUGGUGACUAGGGGACCAGCCAUAAUAAACCCGGCCGCUUAGGCCGUGGCCCUUCUGGCACCUUUUACCCCUCCAUCAGGCUCCUCUCCUCCCGUAACAGGAGUGUCAGGGUCUGUACCUGCCUCCUCGGAGCCUACUUUCAGUCCCAUAGCAGGACAUACUAGGUAGCGUUUGAAUCAGGUCAUACACCUGCUGUUGUACACAUGUAAUGACAUCUGCACACCCCCAUCACACAUGCAGUCACGCCUGUUCAGAGUCCCUUACAGACACGCGCCUGCACAGAACCCCAAAACACACUGCGACAUACACAUGUGCCCCAACAGGUGUCCGUGACACACUUGCACACAAAUGUGCAUCCUCGCACACAUGCAUGUGCACAGUCUCACACACGCACCCAGAGCCCAGGUGCUUGUGACACGUGCAUGCUCACACACACAUGGAACUCAGGUGUCUGACACACAUGCAUAUGUGCUCUCGCGGACACAGUCUAGCACACAUGUACAGAACCCAAGUGUCUGUGGCACACAGGCAAGUACCCUGACAUAUUCACAUUCACACACACACAAGCCCACAUGGGUAGAUAUGAAUCAACCUGCCCCCAAUGAUGUGUGCAAUUAUUGUAAACAAUUGGGGCAUUGGAGACGAGAACGCCCAAACUGCCCUAAGGGACUUCCCCCUUAUGGAGGAAGAAAGGGGGGAACCCAGGGAAACAACCGGGCUGCCAGCACCGAUCCUACAGAUCCCUGGGUCCAGAGUUUGCAAGAAGAUAUAGAUGACUCCCAGUGAAAUAAGGGGGCGGCUCUUCCACACGAUGUAUUUAGGGGAAUCUUCCUCUUUUGAGUAUACCUGCGCCCCUUCAUCCCCUUAUGUACCACUUCAAAUAGCAGGAAAAUUUAUAAAUGUCUUAUAGAUAGAGGAGCAGAUCUGUCCUCACUGGGAGAAUCUCCAGAAAGGGCGGGAAUUGCAGUCUCAGGAUCUGAAAAGAUUAUGAGAGUAAUUGGAAAAUCUAUGCAAGUGCCCCGUGGCACUGAAACACAAGUGCAGAUAGGACCCUUGACCACUAUUCAUGCUUUCCUAUUAGCUGAAGGAACUGUAGUGCACCUCCUUGGAAGAAAUCUACUCUAUAAACUACAGACCAGAAACCCUUCACCCUACUUACUCAUGAGAAUCAAGGCGUUGCUUCAGGUGUCUUAACUCAGCCAUGGGGAGUUUCUAAUCGUCCCAUAGCAUACUAUUCUGCUCAGUUAGAUCCUGUAGCAAGGGCAGCAAUUCUCUGUCUUAGAGCAGUUGCUGCUGCCGCUGUGCUAGUUCAAAAGGCUCAAGAUUUAGUGUUAGGACACUCUCUUGUGGUUGAAAUAUCUCAUUCAGUGGAAGCUCUCCUACUACAGCACAACCUCUGCCAGCAGGGACCAACGCCCAGGCCGCUGAGCUAGCGGCACUCUGAUGAGCAUGCAAAUUGGCCACAGCCUCCAGGGUCACUAUCUAUACUGACUCUCUAAAUAUGCUUUUAGUAUCUGUCAUGCGCUAGGACAGUCCUGGUGACAAAGAGGUUUUAUCACGUCCUCUGAUGCUGUAAUCAGCAAUGCCACGGAAGUCCAAGAACUGCUAGAGGCUGUCGUGUUACCAGGUGAUAUAGCGGUAAUGCACGGUCCCAGACAUUCCAGAGAAGAUACUGACAUCGCUAAAGGAAAGCAUCUUGCAGAUGCUGUAGCUAGAGCCGCUGCACUACAAACUAAAGGAAGUCUCCUUGCAUCUCAAGUUGUUCUUCCACCCUUGUCUGUUAUUUAUGACAAAGUCCCAGCGGAUGAAGUAUCUAUAUGGGUCCAAAAGUGGGAAGCUGCGCAAGGAAAGGAUGGAGUGUGACGUGUGCCAGACGGUAGACCAAUUGCUCCUCGCACCUUGCUCCGAAGUCUGGCUCAGGAUGCCCACAGAUGCUGUCAGUUGGGAAAAGGAGAAAUAGCAGAACAGGUCCUCUCCACCUGGUUUGCUCCAGGUAUACAUCUAGAAGCUGCCCGAAUAACUCUGCAAUGUUCAGAGUGCAGAGCCUUCAACAAAUACAGAGGACACACAAAAUUACAAGGGGCCCGACCGUGGGCCUAUUUACCCUUUGAAAAACGACAUGGAUUUGCUCAAAGCUGUAAAUUUCAAGCACUGCCUAGUAGUGGUAGAUCAAGUAACAGGAUGGCCAGAAGCUUUCCCCACUCGAGAAGCGGAUUCAGUAGCAGUAGCCAAACCCGUAUUAAAAGAAAUCAUCCCACAUUUCGGCAUUCCAGGAGGAAUAAACUCUGACUGGGGAACUCACUUUACAGAAACUGUUUUAAAAGAAGUUUACAGAGUUUUUGGAAUAAUAACAUACUUGCACGCACCCUAUCGCCCUCUGUCCUCGGGUCAGGUAGAGAGUAUGAAUCAGAGUAUAAAAUCCCUUUUAGGAAAGAUCUGCUCCUAAACCAAAUUGAAAUGGUCAGAUGCUUUACCAAGGGUGCUGUUCGCUAUAAGAACAAAACCCAAAUGGCCUCUCAACCUUGUCCCCCUACGAGUUGUUGUUUGGUCACGCUCCUGUUAUAUAAGAGAUGGGAAAAUCUGCAUGUUAGCUUACUCGGCGGAGAUGAAGCUUUAAUUAGUUAUGUUUUAUCCUUACAGGAGUCUCUCUAGUGUUUACACAGGUCAGCUGCUUUGGUUCAGCUGGUACCCCUGGACUGUAACCUUCACUCCUAUCAAUGAGGACUCUGAGUUUGGGUAAAACAGCAUCGGUGAAAAACCGCCUCGGCCCAAGUCUGGGCAGGUCCGUACCAAGUUCUUCUUACUAUACACGCUGCUGUGAAAAUCGCCGAGAAAGAGGGCCGGAUUCAUCGCGGUCGCCUCAAACCUGGUAUCGGCAAGUAAUGACCGGUCAGCUGCUGUUCCGCCUUUAUGGCUAGAAAGAAUCGGAGAAUCGUGGACCGUUCAGACUCCUUAAUAGAAAUGAUACGUGUAUUAAGCUUGCUUUGUAUUAUCUUUCUUGUUAUACUUUGUGUUUGUAUUUCACUGUGGAUGCAGGGAAGGUUAUAAGUUAAUAAUGGCAUUUCACCGGGCUAUCCUAACAGGAUUAUUGCUCUUGAUGCAUAAAACACCAUGGCUAUUUAUGGGAAAGCGAUACAGAACAGGAAGACCAGUGGAAAGAUAAUACUUACCUGAUUUCCACUAUAGCUAUAGCACAGGCCCUAAAAUUUGUCUAAUGGUUGGAUAUGUGGUACACAGCCUCCUUCUACUAACUUUCCACCCUAUCCUUUAAUCUCUUGGGAAGGGUUUUUUUCUAAUCCAGAGUGGGUUGAUACGGAUAGAGCUGGAAUAAGUACCUGGCAGGACAAUCCUUAUUUUAAAGAGAGAGUACUUUCAGACAUCAUGUUAUCUGCCCAGGUGUGUUGGGAAAAAAGUUAGUGUUAUCUUACACAUUGCAAUCUGUUAUCCUGUACUCCGCUGUACCAUCUUCUUCCCUCUGGCCCCCCCCCCCCCCCCCCCCCCCCCCCCGCCUUAUCUUAUCUGACUUCUAGCUGCAGCUGGUACCCAGUACACAGACUUAAUUUCUGCUUUUUUCUAACAAAAUGGUUAGGGCACUUGACAUAAGAAAAUAGUUGGCUUAGAGAUCAUUCUGUCUUGUGGUCAGGAAAACUGCUAGGCCACAGGUCAUGCCUAGUGUUUAGCUACGAAGCUAAUACUAUGUAAUAAUCUAAAUUACCCUGAAAUUAAAUAGUUUUCUAUAGUAUACUGUUUACAAGAAAGACAAACUUGCCCAUCACUCUGACUGUGAGGUGGAAGAGGUGCCAGGAGGAUGUGUGGGGUCUGAGUUGUGCCUUGGUGUGUGCUUAGUUGGGUGAGAGGGGUGCGAAGCUGCCUGGGUGUGGUGGGAUCGUGCUCUGCUCCCUUGCUUGUUUGCUUUGUUUGGUGAUGUUUGUGUGUGUCCUUGUGUUGUUUGUUGUGAGGCUGGCAAUGUUUUCUUCCUGGUGGUUUGUUUUGUACAUGGCUGUUUGCUCACCUCCUGUCUACUGAGCUUUUUGUAUGUAACAUGUAGAGGAACUUGUGGGCCAGCCUGGAAAAAUAAAAUAAAGGAGAAAUGGUUUUGGCA
Long non-coding RNA from Alligator mississippiensis (American alligator), 23807 nucleotides. RefSeq lists it as uncharacterized. NCBI's taxonomy places the organism in Eukaryota, Metazoa, Chordata, Crocodylia, Alligatoridae. The transcript is spliced from 22 exons. The record is from RefSeq and is a predicted model, not a curated record.